UGGGGAAUAUUGCACAAUGGGCGCAAGCCUGAUGCAGCCAUGCCGCGUGUAUGAAGAAGGCCUUCGGGUUGUAAAGUACUUUCAGCGGGGAGGAAGGCGAUAAGGUUAAUAACCUUGUCGAUUGACGUUACCCGCAGAAGAAGCACCGGCUAACUCCGUGCCAGCAGCCGCGGUAAUACGGAGGGUGCAAGCGUUAAUCGGAAUUACUGGGCGUAAAGCGCACGCAGGCGGUCUGUCAAGUCGGAUGUGAAAUCCCCGGGCUCGACCUGGGAACUGCAUUCGAAACUGGCAGGCUAGAGUCUUGUAGAGGGGGGUAGAAUUCCAGGUGUAGCGGUGAAAUGCGUAGAGAUCUGGAGGAAUACCGGUGGCGAAGGCGGCCCCCUGGACAAAGACUGACGCUCAGGUGCGAAAGCGUGGGGAGCAAACA
This 427-nucleotide ribosomal RNA is filed under the name uncultured bacterium. RNAcentral's name for it is "partial 16S ribosomal RNA". It matches the Rfam family "Bacterial small subunit ribosomal RNA", at positions 355 to 774 of the family's 1533-position model. The record is from RNAcentral.